GACGAGGGGUCCUAGCGUUGCUCGGAAUUAUUGGGCGUAAAGCGGGUGUAGGUGGCUUUGUAAGUCAGAAGUGAAAGCCCCAGGCUUAACCUGGGAAGUGCUUUUGAUACUGCUUAGCUUGAGUGUGGGAGAGGAUAGUAGAAUUCCUGGUGUAGUGGUGAAAUACGUAGAUAUCAGGAGGAAUACCGGUGGCGAAGGCGACUAUCUGGCCCAACACUGACACUCAGACCCGAAAUCGUCGGGAUCAAACAGG
Molecule: ribosomal RNA, 253 nt
Filed under: uncultured bacterium
Lineage: Bacteria
Description: partial 16S ribosomal RNA
Rfam family: Bacterial small subunit ribosomal RNA
Source: RNAcentral